RNAcentral lists this ribosomal RNA (499 nucleotides) under uncultured bacterium. RNAcentral describes it as "bacterial SSU rRNA". It matches the Rfam family "Bacterial small subunit ribosomal RNA", at positions 28 to 526 of the family's 1533-position model. The record is from RNAcentral.
GAUGAACGCUAGCGGCAGGCCUAACACAUGCAAGUCGAGCGGGAUUCGGUAGCUUGCUACCGAUGAGAGCGGCGCACGGGUGCGUAACGCGUAUACAAUCUGCCUCUUACUGCGGGAUAGCCCAGAGAAAUUUGGAUUAACACCGCAUAGCAUAGUGUUCCGGCAUCGGGACGUUAUUAAAGGUUACGGUAAGAGAUGAGUAUGCGUCCUAUUAGCUAGUUGGUAAGGUAACGGCUUACCAAGGCAACGAUAGGUAGGGGCCCUGAGAGGGGGAUCCCCCACACUGGUACUGAGACACGAACCAGACUCCUACGGGAGGCAGCAGUGAGGAAUAUUGGACAAUGGGCGCAAGCCUGAUCCAGCCAUGCCGCGUGCAGGAAGACGGCCCUAUGGGUUGUAAACUGCUUUUGUACGGGAAGAAACACCACUACGCGUAGUGGCUUGACGGUACCGUAAGAAUAAGGAUCGGCUAACUCCGUGCCAGCAGCCGCGGUAAAGU